GAAAAGCACUCUGAAGAGAGAGUCAAAAGACCGUGAAACCGCUCAGAGUAUAAGCCAAUGGAGCUUGGAAGGCUUCCGCAGUCUCGGCCAUCACUUGUGAUGCGUCCGUAAGAACAAAAGCGCGGCUCAUUAGGCGUAGCAUUGAGUUUGCCAGGUUUAGCUGUCGUGCGGGGAAACGGCUUGGGGGUCUCAGGCUUCGGCUGAAGGGCUCCCGGUCGUCUCCUUUUGAAUGGAUGUUCAGAGCUUUUGUUCUAAUGCGGUUACGCCCACCACGGCACGUUGUGAGGUCACCCACAGGCUCAAACUGCCGAUCGCGCAUCCAGGACGAUGGCAACGAUGCGUUGUUCCAUGCCACUUUCUGCUCGGCGCAAGUCGGGUGGUGGUGGUGACGCGUGUCUAGUCCUGGGUCGGGCGGCGACCGAGAUAAACCUGGUAUGAUCCUCUGCGACGAGCUGCUUUCUGGCCAGACUGACGCCCGGGCAUCUCCACUGUGCCGGAAAUGCCAACCAAGGCGGUGUGUUCCCAGCUGCAUUAAGUAAGGUCUCCGCCGGGCGUCGCGGUCUGAGUGGUGUCAAGUCCAGCACCGUCGGUCACGUCUCGAAACACGGGCCAAGGAGUAUAGCAUGUGUGCAAGUCUAAGGGUCCCCCAAAACCCGAAGGCGAAGUGAAAGCAAGACUGUGGCGGGGGAGCUACGGCGAACCCGCCGGUCAUGUGCGGCGGUGCGUUAACGCGUGCCGUUGCCUGGCUUUUAACAGAGCUGAUCCUGUUUUCACUGUUGAAUCUUGGUGCAGGCGCAAGCUCCGGGCUCACGUACAACACUGGUGACGCCUCGCGCGUGGCUGUGUUGUGAGCACCGUGGAGCAUGCAUGCUAUGACCCGAAAGAUAGUGAACUAUGCCUGGCGAGGGCGAAGCCCCAGGAAACUGGGGUGGAGGCCCGUAGCCGUUGUGACGUGCAAAUCCAUGGUAUCAGUUGGGCAUAGGGGCGAAAGACCAAUCGAACUAUCUAGUAGCU
RNAcentral lists this ribosomal RNA (1014 nucleotides) under Niphargus gallicus. RNAcentral describes it as "eukaryotic LSU rRNA". It matches the Rfam family "Eukaryotic large subunit ribosomal RNA", at positions 366 to 952 of the family's 3401-position model. Lineage: Eukaryota; Metazoa; Arthropoda; Malacostraca; Amphipoda; Niphargidae. The record is from RNAcentral.